GACGAACGCUGGCGGCGUGCUUAACACAUGCAAGUCGAGCGGUAAGGCCCUUCGGGGUACACGAGCGGCGAACGGGUGAGUAACACGUGAGUAAUCUGCCCAUCACUUCGGGAUAAUUCCGGGACACCGGUGCUAAUACCGAAUUUGACCACUUCAGGCACCUGAUGGUGGUGGAAAGUUCCGGCGGGGAUGGUUGAGCACCCUGCCUAUCAGCUUGUUGGUGGGGUAGUUGCCUACCAAGGCAUCGACGGGUAGCCGGCCUGAGAGGGUGAACGGCACCACUGCGACUGAGACUCGGCCCAGACUCCUACGGGAGGCAGCAGGGGGGAAUAUUGGACGAUAGGCGAAAGCCUGAUCCAGCAACGCCGCGUGAGGGAUGACGGCCUUCGGGUUGUAAACCUCUUUCAGCAGGGACGAAGCGCAAGUGACGGUACCUGCAGAAGAAGCACCGGCCAACUACGUG
RNAcentral lists this ribosomal RNA (463 nucleotides) under uncultured bacterium. RNAcentral's name for it is "partial 16S ribosomal RNA". It matches the Rfam family "Bacterial small subunit ribosomal RNA", at positions 28 to 507 of the family's 1533-position model. The record is from RNAcentral.